ACGAGGUGACUGCUGAGCUUCCUUCUGGUAUCUGAAACGGUCUGAUUUGUGAUAUCGUGAUUAAUCCCAUUAAUUCCCUCUCCCACGAUGAAGUCUUCAAUGCGUCGUUCGGAUCUGCGGCUCGGUGUGUAAUAUGUAUAAAUAUGUGAGUAUUUAUCAUCCUUGAACUCAUCCUCUCUUCAUAUCUCUUACAAUUAGUUUGUGAGUAUUUCUAGAUCUUCAUAUUUAGUUUGUAUGCAGAUUUUCCAGUGAACUGGUCUCGUGUUUAAUGAUACUGAUACUGCUGAAGCAACAUUUGUUUGGUUUGAUGGUGUAAUGACAAAACUACAUAACCUUAGAGCAAGUGAAGCCGGUUAGAUGCUGGUAAGAUACACUUCCGACUACUUACGUGUUUACAACCUAUUACAUACUAACUCGCUUUGUAUUUUUUUUCAUGUCCAAUAGGCUGAAGACGGAGUGAACCCUGACUCUAAUAUGCUUCCGUUCAUUGCAGAUAUGGAAGGAAAGACGUACACUUUCCAGGUCAGAGUCACUGUGUAUAACUUCACCGAAAACCAUUAGACAUUCACCAUAACGCGCGUUGUUGAUGAGGUCAACCAUGUGCCAGUCCCCGCCGUGGCCGACAAUAUAAGGUGAUAACGACAAUGAUGAUGACACCAUGCAAGAUGGCGAGCCAAUUCCUGUUGAGAUUGAAUCCGGAGGAGACGGUGGUAAUGCAUCAUCCAAUGCUGGAACGGGUCCAAUUGGUCAUUCGCAGAAGAAGACGGACGUCUCAUCUUCCAGGGUGGUCAAGAAGACGAUAGCUCUGAAUCAGAUGGUGCUGAUGGAGUAACCAAUAUAGUCUACAAGGAGAUCUUCGAGGGCCUCCAAGACACAAAGGGAAAGAAGCCAAUGUGGUCUUGAACAAUUAUGGACUUCGACCAAGAUCACGUUAUUGACUGUUCUGAGCAUCAUCAACUGACGCGUUCACACAAUAUUAGAUAACAAUUUAUGAAACUGUGUUGAUGAAUAAUUGAAAUACAUAAUGAGUAAGGGCUUCGUGAUGUUCCAAUCAUUAAGAGGAGUCAUAUGACACGAACAUGAUACUCAUCAUACCACCACGAGCCUGCGAGCUCAAAGAACUUGAGAAGAGAUGUCCUAAAUGUUUUUACUACAAGAAAAUGGAAAAUUUCCUGCAGCUGAUGUACCGUGGCUAGAAUCUCCCAUAGAUUUACGUCUUUUUUUUAUCAUUUCAGUUGACGUUUCAUUAAG
This is a long non-coding RNA of Brassica oleracea var. oleracea, 1251 nucleotides long. RefSeq lists it as uncharacterized. The record is from RefSeq and is a predicted model, not a curated record. NCBI's taxonomy places the organism in Eukaryota, Viridiplantae, Streptophyta, Magnoliopsida, Brassicales, Brassicaceae. The transcript is spliced from 4 exons.